GUCGCUUCUCGGCCUUUUGGCUAAGAUCAAGUGUAGUAUCUGCUCUUAUCAGUUUAAUAUCUGAUACAUCCUCUAUCCGAGGACAAUAUAUUAAUUGGAUUUUUUGGAGCAGGGAGUUGGAAUAGGAGCUUGCUCCGUCCACUCCACUUAACGACCUCGCAUUGCAGUACUUUCAGGAACGGUGAAAAAAAA
This 192-nucleotide small nuclear RNA is filed under the name Vicugna pacos (alpaca). RNAcentral's name for it is "U2 spliceosomal RNA (ENSVPAG00000016554.1)". It matches the Rfam family "U2 spliceosomal RNA". Rfam says of the family: U2 is a small nuclear RNA (snRNA) component of the spliceosome (involved in pre-mRNA splicing). Complementary binding between U2 snRNA (in an area lying towards the 5' end but 3' to hairpin I) and the branchpoint sequence (BPS) of the intron results the bulging out of an unpaired adenosine, on the BPS, which initiates a nucleophilic attack at the intronic 5' splice site, thus starting the first of two transesterification reactions that mediate splicing. The record is from RNAcentral. Lineage: Eukaryota; Metazoa; Chordata; Mammalia; Artiodactyla; Camelidae.